Molecule: non-coding RNA, 436 nt
Organism: Cherax quadricarinatus
Lineage: Eukaryota; Metazoa; Arthropoda; Malacostraca; Decapoda; Parastacidae
Source: RefSeq, a predicted model, not a curated record
AGGAGAGCCUGAAACCAGACUGGGCUUCCAUUAAGAGAUCGACGAAGAUCCCGACUUGGAGUGACCUUCCUAAGCCUAACCUUGACAACAUCAAGCGGCCCUCUGUGCAUGGCUUCAGGUCAAGCCUCAGUGACCUCCGUGAGAACUUCCACGACAGAGUGACUUCUUUUGUGUGAGCGUGUGUGACCUCAGUGGAGUGGCCUCAGGUCAACGGGCACUGCGGGGUCCAGCAAGGUCAGAGGUCGAGGUCAGAGUCGAGAACACGAGUACGGAGACGAGUGAUGAAGAGAGGCAAGAUGAGGAGAGUGGAGUGGUACUCGUCCUGCUUCUGCUUUAAAGGCUCCGAGCCUCCGCAGAUUGAGCAUGUGGUGUCAGAACAGCCACAGAUGGUUCAGAUGGCACCACCGCCUAACAUGACAGACAAUUUGGCACCGGG